UAGUGGUUGGGCGGGCAGCCGUGGUAGUACAUGUGGUGGAAGAGUUAUGGGGAAUGACUGGGCGUAAAGCGCAAGUAGGUUGUUUGGUAAGUUGGAGGUGAAAGCCCCGGGGUUAACUUUGGAAUGGCAUUCAAGACUGCCGUGCUAGAGUGUGGAAGAGGGAAGCGGAAUUCCAGGUGUAGCGGUGAAAUGCGUAGAUAUCUGGAGGAACAUCAGUGGCGAAGGCGGCUUCCUGGUCCAACACUGACACUGAGGUGCGAAAGCGUGGGGAGCAAACAGGAUUAGAUACCCGAGUAGUC
This 299-nucleotide ribosomal RNA is filed under the name uncultured Arthrobacter sp. RNAcentral describes it as "partial 16S ribosomal RNA". It matches the Rfam family "Bacterial small subunit ribosomal RNA", at positions 497 to 795 of the family's 1533-position model. Lineage: Bacteria; Bacillati; Actinomycetota; Actinomycetes; Micrococcales; Micrococcaceae. The record is from RNAcentral.